Molecule: long non-coding RNA, 1754 nt
Filed under: Oreochromis niloticus (Nile tilapia)
Lineage: Eukaryota; Metazoa; Chordata; Actinopteri; Cichliformes; Cichlidae
Description: lncRNA (ENSONIG00000034554.1)
Source: RNAcentral
CUCAUGCACUUUAGAGGGGGAGAGUGUAACCCAGGUCAUUUUUUGAGUAUGGGAUUUCUGAUUAUUUGGUAGUCACUGAACGCACCACUGUGCCGUGCGCAUAGCCACUCCCUAGUCUAGCCACAGAGUUUUUCCUUCCGUUCGUCCGAUGACGCGCAUGCUGCUCUCGUGCCCUCUGCGAGCUGGAAAUUCGGGCUGGUUUGUUUGCCUUUUGAUACCCUGGAUCCUACUGGAUGAACUGCCUUGUGGAAGUCCUCAUCUGAUGACUCAGCUGAAUCGUCCUGGCCGGUAGAUGGUCGUUGCUGCGGGUGGAUGCUUCUGCUUGCUGGAUACUAUUAUUGGACACUACGCUGUUCCAACAGAGCGGUAGGAAUAAUUCAAAGGGCCCCAACAGUGCACUUUACUUUUCCCUGAGCUCAGGUGAUUUUCUUUUGGCCAAAGGACCUUAAAGGAUACAUAUUUGCAUUUAUUUUUAUUUUUUGGGGGGGACGCCGAGUGGAAGGACACUAAAAAAAAGAUUAUUAUUUAAAAUUGUGUUUAAUAAAUGUGUUUAUGUCAAGUGAGUGUGGUGUCCAUUGUGUGCUGGAAGGCUUACUGUUCCUGUGGUGGAGCAGCUACUACCAAUCUCCUUUACGAAACUAGCCUCUGACGGGAUACAGAUAUUUGGGACACAUUUGAAUUCUUGUAACCUAUUUCUAGAGAAACUGUGAUUCUGGGCCUAGACAUCGGGGUGAAAUUGAUGACACUGACACCUAGUGAACUGCCCAAGGUCAACAGUCCUGAUUUCCAAGCAUUAAAGCAUUGGCGAUGAAAACCUUCAGAAAUUUCUGAAGGAGGCCGCGAUGAUGGACCCACGUUUUAAAGGCAGGCUAGGUGGUGAGGCAGCUACUGACAUCUGGGACAGGUUGGAGAAGGCAGCAGUUGCAAAUGCCACAGCAGCAGUUGCACAGCCUCCCACUGAGGACCCCAAAGCACACAGCGAGGUGGAUGAUGCUGACAUGGACAAGCCAGAAAAAUAUCUAAGUAAGGUCCAGAAGUCACCCUUAGAAAAGCUGUUUGAGUAUGAAGACAGAGAGCUUCAACAGGCUGCUUCUCAAGCGGGUAGAGUCCCCUCAAUCACAGAGCAGAUGGCAGCGAUUUCAGAGGAACAGUGGAAAAUAGCUCUGACUGAAAUCCUUGCAAAGCUGGAUGACAAAGAGUACGAUAAGAUGUGGGAGUUUGUUUCGAAAAUCCCAAAACAGAAGAAGACGAAGAAGUUAAAAAGAGAGAUGCCCCAAAAAAUCAUUAAGCAAUAUGGAGUGGAUGGAUCUAUCCAGAAAAUCAAGAACGCAAUGAAUAAGAUACCAAGGAAAGACGCUGGAGUCUGGAACCUGCUGCGCCCCUUUGUGGACCAACUGAAGAGCAAAGCAGAAGCUGAGAAAAAAGGUGAGUUCACACCAUCCCAUAUAGCAAAACUGGUAUGGUCCAGCUCUGGUCCACACAAUGUGCUGACACAUGGCCCACAUACCGCAAAGAAUGACAGCCCUUUGGUGGCCCAGAUCUGGUUUGCCAGAGGUGGUCCACACACGGGCCAGCACAAGGCCAGUUGCAGACACACUGGUCAUCCUUUGCUGGCCCAUGUGUGGAUUACCUCUGGCAAACCUGGUCUGGGCCACCAAAGGGCCGUCAUUCUUUGCGGUAUGUGGGCCAUGUGUAAGUUGUUAUUGUUGUCUCAUGUCUCAAGUCUGUCUCAUGUUGUCUUAUUAAUGUGCUAA